RNAcentral lists this ribosomal RNA (315 nucleotides) under uncultured bacterium. RNAcentral's name for it is "bacterial SSU rRNA". It matches the Rfam family "Bacterial small subunit ribosomal RNA", at positions 28 to 334 of the family's 1533-position model. The record is from RNAcentral.
GAUGAACGCUAGCGGUAGACUUAACACAUGCAAGUCGAGGGGCAGCAUAAACAUUGCUUGCAAUGUUUGUAUGGCGACCGGCGCACGGGUGCGUAACGCGUAUGUAACCUACCUCAAACAGGGGCAUAACACUGAGAAAUUGGUACUAAUUCCCCAUAACACUUUGGGAGGCAUCUCCUGGAGUUGAAAGUUCCGGCGGUUUGAGAUGGACAUGCGUUGUAUUAGCUAGUUGGUGAGGUAACGGCUCACCAAGGCGACGAUACAUAGGGGGACUGAGAGGUUAACCCCCCACAUUGGUACUGAGACACGGACCAA